UCAGUCUUUGAACGCAGCAAU
RNAcentral lists this non-coding RNA (21 nucleotides) under Caenorhabditis elegans. Lineage: Eukaryota; Metazoa; Nematoda; Chromadorea; Rhabditida; Rhabditidae. The record is from RNAcentral.